RNAcentral lists this ribosomal RNA (484 nucleotides) under uncultured bacterium. RNAcentral's name for it is "partial 16S ribosomal RNA". It matches the Rfam family "Bacterial small subunit ribosomal RNA", at positions 30 to 507 of the family's 1533-position model. The record is from RNAcentral.
AUUGAACGCUGGCGGCAUGCUUUACACAUGCAAGUCGAACGGCAGCACUGUCUUCGGCCUUGUUGCGAGUGGCGAACGGGUGUGUAAUCUAUCGAAACAUACCCAGAAGUGGUGGAUAACGUCGCGGAAUUUAUGCUAAUAACGCUAACUAUUACUGGAUGAAAGUAGUGAUUGCAAGGUCCUUGUUCUCAUGGAGCAGCCGCUAUCUGAUUAGCUAGUUGGUGGGGUAAAGGCUCACCAAGGGGACUAUCAGUAGCUGGUCUGAGAGGACGACGAGCCACACGGGAACUGAGACAGGGUCCAGACUCCUACGGGAGGCAGCAUAGGGGAAUUUUGGACAAGGGGCGCAAGCCUGAUCAAGCAAUGCGGCGUGAGUGAAGAAGGCCUUCGGGUUGUAAAGCUCGUUUGUCAGGGAAGAAACGGUAGAGGCUAAUAACCUCUGCUAAUGACGGUACCUUAAGAAUAAGCACCGGCUAACUACGUG